Ribosomal RNA from Phytophthora infestans T30-4, 65 nucleotides. The record is from RefSeq and is a predicted model, not a curated record. NCBI's taxonomy places the organism in Eukaryota, Oomycota, Peronosporomycetes, Peronosporales, Peronosporaceae.
UGAUUAGAGGAUUCGGGGAAGAAACUUCCUCGAUCUAUUCUCAAACUUUAAAUCUGUAAGACCUG